This 257-nucleotide ribosomal RNA is filed under the name uncultured bacterium. RNAcentral's name for it is "partial 16S ribosomal RNA". It matches the Rfam family "Bacterial small subunit ribosomal RNA", at positions 76 to 334 of the family's 1533-position model. The record is from RNAcentral.
UUGCUUUCUUUGCUGGCGACCGGCGCACGGGUGAGUAACACGUAUCCAACCUGCCCUUUACUCGGGGAUAGCCUUUCGAAAGAAAGAUUAAUACCCGAUAGUAUAAUGAUUCCGCAUGGUUUCAUUAUUAAAGGAUUCCGGUAAAGGAUGGGGAUGCGUUCCAUUAGGUUGUUGGUGAGGUAACGGCUCACCAAGCCUUCGAUGGAUAGGGGUUCUGAGAGGAAGGUCCCCCACAUUGGAACUGAGACACGGUCCAA